Molecule: ribosomal RNA, 23 nt
Filed under: Parasola auricoma
Lineage: Eukaryota; Fungi; Basidiomycota; Agaricomycetes; Agaricales; Psathyrellaceae
Also listed under: 1 other name
Description: partial 18S ribosomal RNA
Source: RNAcentral
GGUUGUAGCUGGCUUCUAGGAGC